ACAAAGAGCAGCAAGUUCGCGAGGACAAGCAAAUCUCAUAAACCGUGGCUCAGUUCAGAUCGUAGGCUGCAACUCGCCUACGUGAAGGAGGAAUCGCUAGUAAUCGCAGGUCAGCAUACUGCGGUGAAUACGUUCCCGGGCCUUGUACACACCGCCCGUCACACCAUGGAAGUUGGCCACGCCCGAAGCCGUUACUCCAACCCUUGUGGAGGAGGACGUCGAAGGUGGGGCUGAUGACUGGGGUGAAGUCGUAACAAGGUAGCCGUACCGGAAGGUGCGGCUGGAUCACCUCCUAAC
Molecule: ribosomal RNA, 297 nt
Filed under: uncultured Synechococcus sp.
Lineage: Bacteria; Bacillati; Cyanobacteriota; Cyanophyceae; Synechococcales; Synechococcaceae
Description: partial 16S ribosomal RNA
Rfam family: Bacterial small subunit ribosomal RNA
Source: RNAcentral